UACACCACGGGUAACCUCAUCCGACUGGGACUGUCUGCCCUAAUUACGGUUCUUAUGGUGGCUUUCCUGGUGGAAGCCUGGUGGAGCCAGAGGAGGUCUCCACGUGGGUCCAGCAAUUAAAGUGCCAAUCGUUGUGGAAGAAGCAGAGCAGCAGCCAGCCCAGGACAAGACGCUGACUUCCUUCUUCCUGUGCGCUUCACCGGGCCCGAUGGCAGGACUGAGCGGACUCACCUAACACACUUUGGAUGACUUGGCAAAUACUUAAAACUUCAGCUUCUGACCGGG
Molecule: long non-coding RNA, 285 nt
Organism: Myotis lucifugus (little brown bat)
Lineage: Eukaryota; Metazoa; Chordata; Mammalia; Chiroptera; Vespertilionidae
Exons: 3
Source: RefSeq, a predicted model, not a curated record